Molecule: ribosomal RNA, 536 nt
Filed under: Graphonema sp. 214386357
Lineage: Eukaryota; Metazoa; Nematoda; Chromadorea; Chromadorida; Chromadoridae
Also listed under: 2 other names
Description: SSU rRNA
Rfam family: Eukaryotic small subunit ribosomal RNA
Source: RNAcentral
UGGUGACUCUGUGAAAGGCUCAUUAGAACAACUGUAAUUUCUUGGAUCAUAUCAUCCUACUUGGAUACCUGUGGUAAUUCUAGAGCUAAUACACGCAAUUCAGCCCCGACCUUACGGGAGGGGCGCAUUUAUUAGAACAAAACCAAUUGGCCUCGGCCAUCAUUUGGUGAAUCUGAAUAACUACGCUGAUCGCAUGGACUAGUUCCGGCGACAUAUCCUUCAAGUGUUUGCCUUAUCAACUGUCGAUGGUAGUUUAUAUGACUACCAUGGUUGUAACGGGUAACGGAGAAUUAGGGUUUGACUCCGGAGAGGGAGCCUGAGAAACGGCUACCACAUCCAAGGAAGGCAGCAGGCGCGCAAAUUACCCACUCUCAACUCGAGGAGGUAGUGACGAAAAAUAACAAGACAGUCCUCUAUGAGGUCUGUCAUUGGAAUGGGUACAAUCUAAACCCUUUAACGAGGAUCUAUUGGAGGGCAAGUCUGGUGCCAGCAGCCGCGGUAAUUCCAGCUCCAAUAGCGUAUAUUAAAGUUGUUGC